Molecule: ribosomal RNA, 501 nt
Filed under: uncultured Oscillibacter sp.
Lineage: Bacteria; Bacillati; Bacillota; Clostridia; Eubacteriales; Oscillospiraceae
Description: partial 16S ribosomal RNA
Source: RNAcentral
CACGUAGUUAGCCGUGGCUUAUUCAAGAGGUACCGUCUUCUUCUCUUCCCUCUUAAAAGAAGUUUACAACCCGAAAGCCUUCUUCCUUCACGCGGCGUUGCUGGGUCAGGCUUGCGCCCAUUGCCCAAUAUUCCCCACUGCUGCCUCCCGUAGGAGUCUGGGCCGUAUCUCAGUCCCAAUGUGGCCGGUCAACCUCUCAGUCCGGCUACUGAUCGUCGCCUAGGUGGGCCGUUACCCCGCCUACUAGCUAAUCAGACGCGAGGCCAUCUUCCAGCGAUAAAUCUUUGGUGUCUCAAUGAUGCCAUCAAAACACAUUAUGCGGUAUUAGCAGUCGUUUCCAACUGUUGUCCCCCUCUGGAAGGCAGGUUCCUCACGCGUUACUCACCAGUCCGCCACUAAGCAUUCCCUUCCGUUGUCCGAAAACUCCUUCAGGGGUGCUCCGUUCGACUUGCAUGUGUUAAGCACGCCGCCAGCGUUCGUCCUGAGCCAGGAUCAAACUCU